This 29-nucleotide non-coding RNA is filed under the name Rattus norvegicus (Norway rat). The record is from RNAcentral. Lineage: Eukaryota; Metazoa; Chordata; Mammalia; Rodentia; Muridae.
UGAUGCUUCUCUGUGCUUUCCCGGGUAGU